RNAcentral lists this transfer RNA (73 nucleotides) under Podospora comata. The record is from RNAcentral. Lineage: Eukaryota; Fungi; Ascomycota; Sordariomycetes; Sordariales; Podosporaceae.
GAGCGCGGUAGUACAGCGGUUAGUGCAUAUCCGGGUUUGAGCGAAGGCCCAGGUUCGACUCCUGGCCCGUCCA